This 504-nucleotide ribosomal RNA is filed under the name Metschnikowia sp. (in: budding yeasts & allies). RNAcentral describes it as "LSU rRNA". It matches the Rfam family "Eukaryotic large subunit ribosomal RNA", at positions 38 to 504 of the family's 3401-position model. The record is from RNAcentral. Lineage: Eukaryota; Fungi; Ascomycota; Pichiomycetes; Serinales; Metschnikowiaceae.
GUAUAUCAUAAGCGGGGAAAAGAAACCAACAGGGAUUGCCUCAGUAACGGCGAGUGAAGCGGCAAAAGCUCAAAUUUGAAAUCCCCCGGGAAUUGUAAUUUGAAGGUGGCCUCAGUUAGUCCAAACAUUCUUAAGUCCAUUGGAAAAUGGCGCCAUGGAGGGUGAUAGCCCCGUAAAGAUGUCGUUUGUUCUAUUUUCUCUGGCCACCAAAGAGUCGAGUUGUUUGGGAAUGCAGCUCUAAGUGGGUGGUAAAUUCCAUCUAAAGCUAAAUAUUGGCGAGAGACCGAUAGCGAACAAGUACAGUGAUGGAAAGAUGAAAAGCACUUUGAAAAGAGAGUGAAAAAGUACGUGAAAUUGUUGAAAGGGAAGGGCUUGCAAGCAGACACAACCUCGUGUUGGGCCAGCAUCGGGGCGAGAGGAAGUAAAAACGAUUUGGAAAUGUAACUUUCGAGUAUUAUAGACCUUAUCCCUCCCUUCCAUCUCAUCCCGAGGCCUGCGGUUAUC